UGCAAGUCGAACGAUGAAGCCCAGCUUGCUGGGUGGAAGAGUGGCGAACGGGUGAGUAACACGUGAGUAACCUGCCCCGAACUCUGGGAUAAGCGCUGGAAACGGCGUCUAAUACUGGAUAUGUCCCAUCACCGCAUGGUGUGUGGGUGGAAAGAUUUAUCGGUUCGGGAUGGACUCGCGGCCUAUCAGCUUGUUGGUGAGGUAAUGGCUCACCAAGGCGACGACGGGUAGCCGGCCUGAGAGGGUGACCGGCCACACUGGGACUGAGACACGGCCCAGACUCCUACGGGAGGCAGCAGUGGGGAAUAUUGCACAAUGGGCGCAAGCCUGAUGCAGCAACGCCGCGUGAGGGAUGACGGCCUUCGGGUUGUAAACCUCUUUUAGUAGGGAAGAAGCGAAAGUGACGGUACCUGCAGAAAAAGCACCGGCUAACUACGUGCCAGCAGCCGCGGUAAUACGUAGGGUGCAAGCGUUGUCCGGAAUUAUUGGGCGUAAAGAGCUCGUAGGCGGCUUGUCGCGUCUGCUGUGAAAACCCGAGGCUCAACCUCGGGCCUGCAGUGGGUACGGGCAGGCUAGAGUGCGGUAGGGGAGAUUGGAAUUCCUGGUGUAGCGGUGGAAUGCGCAGAUAUCAGGAGGAACACCGAUGGCGAAGGCAGAUCUCUGGGCCGUAACUGACGCUGAGGAGCGAAAGCAUGGGGAGCGAACAGGAUUAGAUACCCUGGUAGUCCAUGCCGUAAACGUUGGGAACUAGAUGUAGGGACUGUUCCACGGUUUCUGUGUCGUAGCUAACGCAUUAAGUUCCCCGCCUGGGGAGUACGGCCGCAAGGCUAAAACUCAAAGGAAUUGACGGGGGCCCGCACAAGCGGCGGAGCAUGCGGAUUAAUUCGAUGCAACGCGAAGAACCUUACCAAGGCUUGACAUAUACGAGAACGGGCCAGAAAUGGUCAACUCUUUGGACACUCGUAUACAGGUGGUGCAUGGUGUCGUCAGCUC
This 993-nucleotide ribosomal RNA is filed under the name Leucobacter iarius. Its description in RNAcentral is "bacterial SSU rRNA". It matches the Rfam family "Bacterial small subunit ribosomal RNA", at positions 56 to 1061 of the family's 1533-position model. The record is from RNAcentral. Lineage: Bacteria; Bacillati; Actinomycetota; Actinomycetes; Micrococcales; Microbacteriaceae.